CUGAAUAAAUAGCAGGUAGACUCCUUUCAUGGGUAGAUGUUUCCAAUGUUCCAUUAUAUGUGAGGACAGGUUGUUUGUGACAGGUUGUCUAGUGGUUAGAGCGUUGGAUAGUAACAGAAAGAUUGCAAGAUCGAUCCCCGAGCUGAUAAGGAAGGCCUACAUUAAAUGAACCAUUCAUCUCCCGUUUUGGACGUGUGAAACCCCUCCGUGAUGUAGGCUGCAUGUGUCCAUGCCUAUCAUGAAACGAGAGGCUACCCUUACCCAAGACCUACAAUAACGAAGACUGAUUCAACAGCAUCAAGUAUUUUUUAUCCUUGUAUGAUGUUAUAUUAAUCCCCCACUAGACUAACGGGUUAAAACCAACCUUAUUCAAAUGAUUCACCAUCCUGAUCUGUAAAAUGUUUCUGAUUAUGUUCAUAAAACAUUAUAUUUGGGAGCACUAUAA
Oncorhynchus masou masou (cherry salmon) is the source of this 445-nucleotide long non-coding RNA. RefSeq lists it as uncharacterized. Lineage: Eukaryota; Metazoa; Chordata; Actinopteri; Salmoniformes; Salmonidae. The record is from RefSeq and is a predicted model, not a curated record. The transcript has 4 exons.